RNAcentral lists this transfer RNA (75 nucleotides) under bacterium SM23_31. Its description in RNAcentral is "tRNA-Glu". It matches the Rfam family "tRNA". Rfam says of the family: Transfer RNA (tRNA) molecules are approximately 80 nucleotides in length. Their secondary structure includes four short double-helical elements and three loops (D, anti-codon, and T loops). The record is from RNAcentral.
GGCGCAUUCGUCUAGGGGUUAGGACGCCGGCCUCUCACGCCGGUAACAGGGGUUCAAUUCCCCUAUGCGCUACGA